Molecule: ribosomal RNA, 438 nt
Filed under: uncultured bacterium
Lineage: Bacteria
Description: bacterial SSU rRNA
Rfam family: Bacterial small subunit ribosomal RNA
Source: RNAcentral
GAUGAACGCUGGCGGCGUGCUUAACACAUGCAAGUCGAGCGAAGCAGUUAAGAAGAUUCUUCGGAUGAUUCUUAACUGACUGAGCGGCGGACGGGUGAGUAACGCGUGGGUGACCUGCCCCAUACCGGGGGAUAACAGCUGGAAACGGCUGCUAAUACCGCAUAAGCGCACAGAGCUGCAUGGCUCGGUGUGAAAAACUCCGGUGGUAUGGGAUGGGCCCGCGUCUGAUUAGGCAGUUGGCGGGGUAACGGCCCACCAAACCGACGAUCAGUAGCCGGCCUGAGAGGGCGACCGGCCACAUUGGGACUGAGACACGGCCCAAACUCCUACGGGAGGCAGCAGUGGGGAAUAUUGCACAAUGGGGGAAACCCUGAUGCAGCGACGCCGCGUGAGCGAAGAAGUAUUUCGGUAUGUAAAGCUCUAUCAGCAGGGAAGAUA